CGGAGGGUGCAAGCGUUGUCCGGAUUUAUUGGGUUUAAAGGGUGCGUAGGCGGCUAAUUAAGUCAGCGGUGAAAUUCCACAGCUUAACUGUGGAACUGCCAUUGAUACUGGUUGGCUUGAGUACAGAUGAGGUAGGCGGAAUUGACAGUGUAGCGGUGAAAUGCUUAGAUAUUGUCAAGAACACCUAUUGCGAAGGCAGCUUACUAAGCUGUAACUGACGCUGAGGCACGAAAGCGUGGGGAUCAAACAGGAUUAGAUACCCUGGUAGUCCACGCCGUAAACGAUGAUUACUCGAUGUGUGCGAUAGACAGUACGCGUCCAAGCGAAAGCGUUAAGUAAUCCACCUGGGGAGUACGCCCGCAAGAGUG
RNAcentral lists this ribosomal RNA (368 nucleotides) under uncultured organism. RNAcentral describes it as "bacterial SSU rRNA". It matches the Rfam family "Bacterial small subunit ribosomal RNA", at positions 526 to 896 of the family's 1533-position model. The record is from RNAcentral.